CAAGCAAUGGAAAAGCUAUAUAAAUUUAAUAUUUCUACCUGUCUGUAAAAGAGUAUUGUAGUAAUCUCGCUGUAUGUGCUUCUUGCUGUUGAUGGGCGUGCUGCCAGAAAAGAAACAUUUAGGGAAUAUGCUAGAGAAGGGGUUCUCCAAGAUUGGCGAGAUCUGACUGUGAUGGCUGCAGACGACACACAUAGGAGAAUCUGAAGCACUCUUCCCUCAGGUUCUGUGACUACCCCACUGCAAACUUGGCCUCUGACCUGUGGCAAGAUGACUUUCUUCAGCUGCUCCUGAGUGAAGUGCUCCACGUAGGCCUCGAUGUGAGACAGCAGCACCAUCCGCACAUGCUCUUCAUGAACUUCAAACAACUGGAGAAGCACGGGGAUCACCCGUGACUGGAACAGGGCUGGUGAGACGUGCCUUUUGCCUUCUGCCAUGAUUUUAAGGAACUCCCCAGCCACGUGGAACUUUUGUAAAUUGCCCAGUCUUGGGUAUGUCUUCAUCAGCAGCGUGAAAACAGAGUAAUACAGUAAAUUGGUACCAGUAGAGUGGGGCGUUGCUGAAAAGAUACCUGAAAAUAUGGAAGGGACUUUGGAACUGGGUAACUGGCAAAGGCUGGAACAGUUUGGAGGGUUCAGAAGAAGACAGGAAAAUGUGGGAAAGUUUGGAAUUUCCUAGAGACUUGUUGAAUGGCUUUGACAAAAAUGCUGCUAGUGAUAUGAACAAUAAGGUCCAGGCUGAGGUGGUCUCAGAUGGAGAUGAGGAACUUGUUGGGAACUGGGGCAAAGGUGACUCUUGUUAUGUUUUAGCAGAGACUGGUGGCAUUUUGCCCCUGCCCUAAAGAACUGUGGAACUUUGAACUUAAGAGAGGAUUUAGGGUAUCUGGCGGAAGAAAUUUCUAAGCAGCAGAGCAUUCAAGAGGUGACUUGGGUGCUGUUAAAGGCAUUCAGUUUUAAAAGGAAAACAGAGCAUAAAAGCUUGGGAAGUUUGCAGCCUGACAAUGCAAUAGAAAAGAAAAUCUCAGGUGACAUUCAAGGCAGCUGCAGAAGUUUGCAUAAGUAAUGAGGGGCCAAAUGUUAAUCCCCAAGAAAAUGGGGAAAAUGUCUCCAGGGCAUGUCAGAGAUCUUCAUGGCAGCCCCUCCCAUCACAGGCCUGCAGGCCUAGGAGGAAAAAGUGGUUUCAUGGGCGAGGCCCAGGGUCCCCAUGCUGUGUGAAGCCUAGGGACUUGGUGCCCUGCAUCUCAGCCGCUCUAGCCAUGGCAGAAAGGGGCCAACGUAGAGCUCAGCAUGUGGCUUCAGAGGGUGCAAGCCCCAAGCCUUGGCAGCUUCACAUGGUGUUGAGCCUGCAAGUGCACAUUAGUCAAGAACUGGGGUUUGGGAACCUCCACCUAGAUUUCAGAAGAUGUAUGGAAAUGCCUGGAUGCCCAGGCAGAAUUUGCUGCAUGGGCAGGGCCCUUAUGGAGAACCUCUACUAGGGCAGUGUGAAAAGGAAAUGUGAGGUCGGUGCCCCCACACAGAGUUCCUACUGGAGCACUGCCUAAUGGAGCUGUGAGAAGGAGGCCAGCAUCCUCCAGAUCCCAGAAUGGUAGAUCCACUGACAGCUUGCACCACGUGCCUGGAAAAGCUGCAGACAUUCAAGACCAGCCUGUGAAAGCAGCCAGGAGGGAAACUGUACCCUGCAGAGCCACAGGGGUAGAAGCUGCCCAAGACCAUGGGAACCCACCGCUUGCAUCAGCGUGACCCGGAUGCGAGACACGGAAUCAAAGGAGAUCAUUUUGGAGCUUUAAGAUUUGACUGCCUCACUGGAUUUCACACUUGCCUGUAGCCCCUUUGUUUAGCUAAUUUCUCCCAUUUGGAAUGGCCGUAUUUACCCAAUGCCUGUACCCCCAUUGUAUCUAGGAAGUAACUAACUUGCUUCUGAUUUUACAGGCUCAUAGGUGGAAGGGACUUGCCUCAUCUCAGAUGAGACAUUGGACUAUGGACUUUUGAGUUAAUGCUGAAAUGAGUGAAGACUUUGGGGGACUGUUGAGAAGACAUGACUGGUUUUGAAAUGUGAGGACAUGAGACUGGGGAGGGGCCAGGGGAGGAAUGAUGUGGUUUGGCUGUGACUCUCAUCUUGGAUUGUAACUCCCACAAUUCCCAUGUGUCAUGGGCAGGAAUUCAGUGGGAGGUGAUUGAAUUAUGGAGGUAGAUCUCUCCUGUGCUGUUCUGGUAAUAGUGAGUAGGUCUCACAAGACCUGAUGGUUUUAUAAAAGGGAAUUUUCCUGCACAAGCUCUCUUCUCUUGUCUGCUGCCAUGUGAGAAGUGCCUUUCACCUUCCGCCAUGAUUGUGAGGCCUCCCCAGCCACAUGGAACUGUUAGUCCAAUAAACCUCUUUCUUUUGUAAA
This 2383-nucleotide long non-coding RNA is filed under the name Homo sapiens (human). Its description in RNAcentral is "PREDICTED lncRNA (TCONS_00009449)". Lineage: Eukaryota; Metazoa; Chordata; Mammalia; Primates; Hominidae. The record is from RNAcentral.